CUGAUGGCUGCUGAACAUCUCCGUCUCCAUGCCAAAUAUCUCCAUCCCAACACUGAAUGUGUCCUUCCCAGUGUUGAACUUCUCUAUCCCAAUGUUGAACAUCUCAACACUGAAUAUCUCCAUCCCAUUGCUGAACGUCUCCACCCCACUGCUGAACAUUUCCAUCCCAGUGUUGAAUAUCUCCACCCCAGUGCUGAACAUCGCCAUCCCAGUGCUGCGUAUCUCCAUCCCAACACUGAACAUCUCCACCCCCAGUGCUGAACUUUUCCAUCCCAAUGCUGAACAUCUUCAUCCCAAAUCUGAACAUCUCCAUCCCAGUGCCACACAUCUGCAUCCCAAAGUGGAAUAUCUCCAUCCCAAUGCUGAACAUCUCCAUCCCAGUUCUGAACAUCUCCAUCCCAAUACUGAACAUCUCCAUCCCAUACUGAACAUCUCCAUCCCAAUACUGAACAUCUCCAUCCCAUGCUGAACAUCUCCAUCCCAGUGCUGAACAUCUCUAUGCCAACGCUGAAUAUUUCCAUCUCCAUUUUCUGAGAAACACCCUGCAAGAGUCUCAGGAAGGCUGAGGACCUCAUGGUGACACCCAACAAGAAUGGACACUUCCCCCAGAGAUGUUCCCUGUUAGAAACAUAUGCCCAGUGCAGAGCCCUGGGGUAAAGCCAAGGCUGUGAUGCUCCCUGUUUUCCUCCCCGCGCCUGGCAAAGCUGUGCCCUCCAUCGGCCAAACAAUCCUGCCCUGCCCCCGUGCCCUCUGGUUGCAGCAAGGCUGUAGCAAAUCCGAGCAGGGGGACAACACAGUUCAACACAGUGUAAAACAGCAGUCGGAGCACGGCGGUGCAGAGGCAGUGCCCAAAGCAAACACACUGCUGCGAAAAAAACCUUCCCAGCUUAGUGCGCCCUUCUAAAAACACAGAGUGACUUCAGAAAAAUGUGAGAAAACAUGAGCUGCUCACCCCCAGAGGGAAAACAGAGCACAGGAGCCAUAGGAUGGAGCCUGCUGCCUGCAGCCGUGUCCCCAUGGCAGAGGAUCCUGGGGCCAUCGCGGUGCCUGGGAAGGGCUGAGCUCCCUU
RNAcentral lists this long non-coding RNA (1069 nucleotides) under Gallus gallus (chicken). RNAcentral describes it as "long non-coding RNA NONGGAT007930". Lineage: Eukaryota; Metazoa; Chordata; Aves; Galliformes; Phasianidae. The record is from RNAcentral.